Long non-coding RNA from Asparagus officinalis (garden asparagus), 685 nucleotides. RefSeq lists it as uncharacterized. NCBI's taxonomy places the organism in Eukaryota, Viridiplantae, Streptophyta, Magnoliopsida, Asparagales, Asparagaceae. The transcript has 5 exons. The record is from RefSeq and is a predicted model, not a curated record.
AUUUUGAUUUUUGACGCGUAGCUGAGGAUGAACGCAGCAUUCAACCGCGUCUAUAAAUAGAGUCUUGGUCCCGCCCUCUCUCUUUCGAAUCUCAACUCAAGGUUUCAAUUUUGGGGCUUCUGACGAUCUAGGGCUUGCGAAGGCUUCUGAUGAUCUAGGGUUUGUGCUGGAGGAAACAGCAUCAUGAACGGCGGCGGCGAGUUUCCCUUCAAACUGCGUCAUCUUCAACAAAACCCUAGAAAGAUGGAAACUUGGCGCCUUCAAGUCUAUGUUUCGAAAUUUAUUUUGAUUUUCAGACGAGAGAUUUUUAUGAUUCGAAAGAUAUCCUUGCAAAAGUAUCAAUGAUCGAGUGCCUUCAGUGGCUAUCAGUGAAGGAGAGCGAGCUAAUUCCUAAGGGUUUACACAUACAACAACAUGGAGAGAAGCACAUUUUGUAUACUCCAUUACAUUUGGAAUGCAAUCCAUUCCUAUGAAAGAUUGUUACUGAUGGCUGGCAACAGGGUGUGAUGAUGGAACUGUGCGAUUACAAGAGGCUUUGUCCUUGGAAGGUGGUGCAAAUCCAAAUUGCUUGGGGAGCAUGUCUUUGGAUCUGCCGUGAGGUUUAUAUACUUUAAUUGAAGAUGCACAUAAAUACUGUGAGUCAACUUUGCAGCUCUAAUCAUGGUGUAGCUGACAAAAAAGAUGA